This 244-nucleotide ribosomal RNA is filed under the name uncultured bacterium. RNAcentral describes it as "partial 16S ribosomal RNA". It matches the Rfam family "Bacterial small subunit ribosomal RNA", at positions 551 to 793 of the family's 1533-position model. The record is from RNAcentral.
UUACUGGGCGUAAAAGCGCAUGCAGGUGGUUUUGUUAAGUCAGAUGUGAAAGCCCGGGGCUCAACCUCGGAAUUGCAUUUGAAACUGGCAAACUAGAGUACUGUAGAGGGGGUAGAAUUUCAGGUGUAGCGGUGAAAUGCGUAGAGAUCUGAAGGAAUACCGGUGGCGAAGGCGGCCCCCUGGACAGAUACUGACACUCAGAUGCGAAAGCGUGGGGAGCAAACAGGAUUAGAUACCCUGGUAG